This 207-nucleotide ribosomal RNA is filed under the name Clostridioides difficile. RNAcentral describes it as "partial 16S ribosomal RNA". It matches the Rfam family "Bacterial small subunit ribosomal RNA", at positions 147 to 354 of the family's 1533-position model. The record is from RNAcentral. Lineage: Bacteria; Bacillati; Bacillota; Clostridia; Peptostreptococcales; Peptostreptococcaceae.
CAUACCGAAAGGUAUGCUAAUACGGGAUAAUAUAUUUGAGAGGCAUCUCUUAAAUAUCAAAGGUGAGCCAGUACAGGAUGGACCCGCGUCUGAUUAGCUAGUUGGUAAGGUAACGGCUUACCAAGGCAACGAUCAGUAGCCGACCUGAGAGGGUGAUCGGCCACAUUGGAACUGAGACACGGUCCAAACUCCUACGGGAGGCAGCAG